AAUCAACGCUGGCGGCGUGCCUCAGACAUGCAAGUCGAACGCGAAAGUCUCCUUCGGGAGACGAGUAGAGUGGCGCACGGGUGAGUAACACGUAGGUUAUCUACCUCCGAGUGGGGAAUAACAGCCGGAAACGGCUGCUAAUACCGCAUAAUACCGAAAGGUCAAAGCUUUAUGUGCUUGGAGAGGAGCCUGCGGCAGAUUAGCUAGUUGGUAAGGUAAUGGCUUACCAAGGCGACGAUCUGUAUCCGGUCUAAGAGGACGGUCGGACACACUGACACUGAAUAACGGGUCAGACUCCUACGGGAGGCAGCAGUCGGGAAUUUUGGGUCGAAUGGGCGAAUGCCUGACCCAGCAACGCCGCGUGAAGGAUGAAGUCCUCGG
This 381-nucleotide ribosomal RNA is filed under the name uncultured bacterium. RNAcentral describes it as "bacterial SSU rRNA". It matches the Rfam family "Bacterial small subunit ribosomal RNA", at positions 32 to 420 of the family's 1533-position model. The record is from RNAcentral.